This 492-nucleotide ribosomal RNA is filed under the name uncultured bacterium. RNAcentral describes it as "partial 16S ribosomal RNA". It matches the Rfam family "Bacterial small subunit ribosomal RNA", at positions 29 to 507 of the family's 1533-position model. The record is from RNAcentral.
AGUGAACGCUGGCGGUAGGCCUAACACAUGCAAGUCGAACGGCAGCACAGUAAGAGCUUGCUCUUACGGGUGGCGAGUGGCGGACGGGUGAGGAAUACAUCGGAAUCUACUUUUUCGUGGGGGAUAACGUAGGGAAACUUACGCUAAUACCGCAUACGACCUACGGGUAAAAGCAGGGGAUCUUCGGACCUUGCGCGAUUGAAUGAGCCGAUGUCGGAUUAGCUAGUUGGCGGGGUAAAGGCCCACCAAGGCGACGAUCCGUAGCUGGUCUGAGAGGAUGAUCAGCCACACUGGAACUGAGACACGGUCCAGACUCCUACGGGAGGCAGCAGUGGGGAAUAUUGGACAAUGGGCGCAAGCCUGAUUCAGCCAUACCGCGUGGGUGAAGAAGGCCUUCGGGUUGUAAAGCCCUUUUGUUGGGAAAGAAAAGCAGCAGGUUAAUACCCCGCUGUUCUGACGGUACCCAAAGAAUAAGCACCGGCUAACUUCGUG